UUUACUCUCUCCUAUCACUCUUUCGAUGUUUAAUAUUUUUUCCGGAAACAUUUUCCGGUCAAUCUGUACCAAUUUCAGGUACGAGUAUUUUACUUAAGAAUCAAGUAUCAACCGUAAUCUGUUGUUAUUAUUAUUAUUUUAGUAGUAGUAGUCGCCUUUUGUUAGUCUAUUGACAGUCUAGGGGUGUAAACGAGCCGGGUUGAGCCUAACUAGGCUCGAGCUCGGCUGGUCAUGUUUUUAUGAAGCUCGAGCUCGAGGUUCAAGCCUACAUAUUUGAGCUUCAGCUCGGUUCGGGACUAAAACCCAAAGUUCGAGCUCGGCUCUAGUUAUUUUGAGAAAAACCUCAAACGAACUAAAAGUUCGGCUCGAGCUCACUUUAACAUCGCUUAAACGUGUCAAAACUCGGUUCGAGCUCUGCUCGCCAAUGUUAUCAUUAUUAUUAUUAUUAUUAUUAUUACAUAUAAAAAAACUAAAAUUUUGUUUGGGCUCGUUUAAGCUACGAGCCUAAACGAGCUUUGUAUUUCAGUUCGGGCUCGAUAAAUAAAUAAACGAGCACUAUUUAAGGCUCGAGAGCUCGUUAAGGCUCGGCUUGAUCAAACUUUUAACCGAGCCGAUCACGAGUAGCUCUCGAGUUUUUGGACUUGUUUAUACCAUUAAUUAACGACACACAUGAAGAUAAGAAUUCUUUUUGUAUGUUUCACAAACACGUUUUUAUAAUAUUAAGCUAAGCAAGCUGAUUGUGUGUUUCACAAAUUCUUGGACAUUUUUUCUUCUUUUGCUCUGUAAUAGUUGUUUUUUAGCAACAACUUGUUACAUGAUUAAGAUGAACGGCCAAAAUAGGUAUAUGUGGAGGCGUAUACGACUUGUUAUAUUAUGCUUAAUUGUUUAUUUAACUCGCUUUUAAAAAAAUUAAAAAUAAAAAUUGUUAUUUGAUUAUUUCAUAACAGUUCUCCUUGCCUCCACAACAAACUCAGGUUGCGACAGUACGUCUAUACUUCUUUUAGUAUGAUUGGCUUAUUUUUUUUAUUACAUAAGUUGACUUAAGUGAAAGGGUUAAGUUCUAGAACAUUAUAAUUUCAUGUAAAAUUUUGGUACUUGAUGUUAAUUUGGUUUAACAACUUGAACUUUGUUAAUUUUUAUGCUUGGAAGUUUAUGAUAAAUAAACAUGAGAAGAUAAACAUGAUCAUAGAGAUAUCGAGAUCAUUGUUUGGUGAUAAAGUUUGCAGACGAUGUUUUUCUAAGCUUUAAAUGAGGAAAAGAUCUUGAAAUUCAACAGAGAGAGGUAAUUCUAACAUAGUUUAAAUUUUUCAACUUUACUUUAUUUAUUAUUUUUUUAACUAAAUGAUACCAUCUUUAGAUUACCAUUCCUAAGAACCGGUUAAUCAAACUUAAAGAUCUCAGAAAAUAAUACAUGCAACACUUUAGGAUUAUUUGUUUAAUGAAAUUUGAUAUUUUGUUGUGUGUCUCUUUAACUACACACUUUACACACUAAAAUAACUUGAAUGGUUAUAUAGAUAGAAAAAGAAAGUAAAACACACUAAAAAUAUACAAACGUGUAUUACAUUUUUACACACUUCAAGGUUAUUUAUAACCAUACCAUUUGAUUUACUUACGAUUUAUUACUAACAUUUAUUUUUCUUUAUUAAGUUUUCUUGGUUAUAACGUGGAAUAUCCUGGUAAACUUAAAUAUAAGAAAUUCUAUAAACGAAUUAGCCAUGCCAGAAGACAUGAGCACAAAGGUUAUAGAUUUAUUUAAAAAAAGAUUAAAUAUAUUAUUUUUCUUUCUUUAGUAAAAAGUCCAAAUUUCAUAAAAAGUCAUAAAACACCAAAAUGUCAACCGUAAAUCACACCAAAAACCUCACGAAUAACAAAAUGAUUAAGUAACAUUAUUCCCCAAAGGUAUAUUAUGAACAACACUUAUGUUUCAUGUUUCCUAUAGUUGAAUAUACAAUAUUAAUACUAACCACAUAUGCUGAAUAGAAGUAUUUUGACAUCUUCCCCUAUACUCUCAAACCUUUCGUAAACAAAUCAGACAUUUUCUCUAAUGUCAAUCUUAUUAUGUUUUAAAUUUUAACUCAAAAUCAGUUCGUUCAAUAGCGAAUUAUUUUAAGACGUUUACAAGAUAUUAACAUCCAUAAAAUAUUUCUAAGCUAUACUUUCUUUGAAUUAAACAACCAAGUCAUCAAAUACUUGAAUAAUUUGAAAUAUCUUUAACUCUUCAAGAUCUUUAACCAUUAAACUUCACACAAAACAUGCUUAAGUUUCUUAAUUCCAUACUCUGGAUACUGCAUCCACAUGGGUAUCGCCAUGUUUAAGAAACAAAAAGUAACCAUCCAAAAAUGGCUUAAAGUAAAGUUGUUCACUUUCAUUCCAUUUCAUAAUUAGAGGAAUGUUAAAUCAAAAUCUAACAUGACUUUCACUAUUAAAAAUACCUGAUCAUGCAGGGAAGGCAAGGACAAGUUCGUCCACCGCUGGAAACAAUUCCUCUUAUAACCAUGUAUCAACUCCAAAAGGAAAAGUAGCAAGAUUUUGAGCAGAAGUGUUAAGGUUAGACGUUGUUCGUAAACAAAUAUCGGAAUUGUAUCGUGUUGAACACUUCACAUAUCAUGCGGAGCAGUUGGCGUGUGAUUCCUCCUUGACGGCGAAUGCGCAACUAGGCACGCACUUAUUGGGAGAAAGAGGGAGACAAAAGGGGCACAGCGAGUGUGGCUAGGGUUUCACACUUUCAAUCACCAGCCAAAGGACGAUUUCUAUGAUCAAGGCUGGCCCAUCAAUAUUUUUUGAAAUUAGGGUUGUGGGCCCAAAAAAGGAAAAUGAUACAUAUGGCUUUUUUGAAAUUAAUUUAGGCAGUUGAAGGAGGCCCACUUGUCACUGAAGCCGUGAUUAAUAACUUCAAUUUUUUACUCAUUUGUCUACGGCACGAUGCCACAGUGGAGAAACCUAUGUUACAAGAUUUUUUAUUUUAUCUUUUGUAUGUUUUUUUGUUA
Helianthus annuus (common sunflower) is the source of this 2987-nucleotide long non-coding RNA. RefSeq lists it as uncharacterized. NCBI's taxonomy places the organism in Eukaryota, Viridiplantae, Streptophyta, Magnoliopsida, Asterales, Asteraceae. The record is from RefSeq and is a predicted model, not a curated record. The transcript has 2 exons.